GCAUCGUCAGCUCUGCUCAGAGAGACAGUAAAGAACUGGGUCUCUCCUACUCCAACAUGGACUACAUCCAGACGGACGCUACCAUAGAUUUUGGAAAUUCAGGAGGGCCUCUCAUAAACCUGGAUGGUGAGGUCAUCGGCAUUAAUACCAUGAAAGUGACAGCAGGGAUUUCCUUCGCUAUUCCCUCAGACAGAGUCCGUCUCUUCCUUGACCGAUCUGUA
This is a non-coding RNA of Danio rerio (zebrafish), 221 nucleotides long. NCBI's taxonomy places the organism in Eukaryota, Metazoa, Chordata, Actinopteri, Cypriniformes, Danionidae. The record is from RefSeq and is a predicted model, not a curated record.